CAGUCGCCGCGGUAAUACGAAGGGUGCAAGCGUUACUCGGAAUUACUGGGCGUAAAGCGUGCGUAGGUGGUGGUUUAAGUCCGUUGUGAAAGCCCUGGGCUCAACCUGGGAAUUGCAGUGGAUACUGGGUCACUAGAGUGUGGUAGAGGAUAGUGGAAUUUCCGGUGUAGCGGUGAAAUGCGUAGAUAUAGGAAGGAACACCAGUGGCGAAGGCGACCACCUGGACUGAUACUGACACUGAGGUGCGAAAGCGUGGGGAGCAAACAGGAUUAGAUACCCCUGUAGUCCCUGUCUCUUAUAC
This 301-nucleotide ribosomal RNA is filed under the name uncultured bacterium. RNAcentral's name for it is "partial 16S ribosomal RNA". It matches the Rfam family "Bacterial small subunit ribosomal RNA", at positions 509 to 807 of the family's 1533-position model. The record is from RNAcentral.